Molecule: ribosomal RNA, 292 nt
Filed under: uncultured bacterium
Lineage: Bacteria
Description: partial 16S ribosomal RNA
Source: RNAcentral
GGACUACCCGGGUAUCUAAUCCUGUUUGCUCCCCACGCUUUCGCGUCUCAGCGUCAGUCACUGUCCAGAAGGCCGCCUUCGCCACCGGUGUUCCUCUCGAUAUCUACGAAUUUCACCUCUACACCGAGAAUUCCGCCUUCCUCUCCAGGACUCCAGCUUCGCAGUUUCGAGUGCACUUCCUAGGUUGAGCCCAGGGCUUUCACACCCGACUUGCGAAGCAGCCUACACGCGCUUUACGCCCAGUAAUUCCGAACAACGUUUGCACCCUCUGUCUUACCGCGGCUGCUGGCAC